Long non-coding RNA from Polypterus senegalus (gray bichir), 1422 nucleotides. RefSeq lists it as uncharacterized. The transcript is spliced from 3 exons. The record is from RefSeq and is a predicted model, not a curated record. NCBI's taxonomy places the organism in Eukaryota, Metazoa, Chordata, Cladistia, Polypteriformes, Polypteridae.
GCCCACACACAACUCAUUCUCUGUCAAAUUAUGAGGUCUCUAAUAUAAUUAUAAGGACCAGGAAGGCCACGCAAUAUUGCUUUGUUCUCUUUACUGGCAAGGGGAGAUUAAUGUCAGACAUGCGAUUUCUUUUUUCUGAUGUCAGAGCUGAAAUGUGCAAGGGUCGUCACCAUAGCAACCCAACAUCCCUUACAAGAAUUUCACAUCAGGUGCAAUAAAUUCUGAAUAAUGAAGCUUGCUGCCGCAUAGCCUUGCCAUGAGGCACAGGUGUGCAAUUAAACAACACAGAUUAAGCUUUAAAAGGUAGCUGGUUUAUAAGUGUCACAAAGACAAAUAAGCAAGAGCAACAAGGAUGAGACAAAGCACUGACAGGCUGUCAUCAUCAUCCAUCCAUCAAUAUAGUUUCAAGCCUGCUUAUUGCAUAUCACGGUCAAGGGGACGACAUCGUAUCCCAGCAGAACCUGACAAAAGGUGACCUCACUACCGUCCCAUCCAGAUGACCUCACUUUCCUGAUGACCUUACUUCCGUCCCACCUUGAUGACCUCACGUCCGUCCCACCCUGAUGGCCUCACACUUCCUGCCACCAUAAUAUAAAACCUGAUUAAUUCAUUUCCUCAUUGUCUUGUUGUUUUGCAGUGCAUCAGACCAGUAUCAGUCCUUUGUGAUAACAUAUGGAGUGACUCCCCAGCUCUUUAUUUUGUUCAACUUCUAUUUAUUCUACAACAGCUUACACACGCAUAUGUUUGAACUUGAAAUGUUGGCAAAAAUCUUGUAAAAAUCACAUAAUAAUCCUUGAUAUGACUAGGUUUCUCUUCCUUUUACAAUGAAUUAUUAAAUUCCUAGGACAAUCUGAGAAUGUUGUUUUUGUAAUUAAAAUCGAAACCUAAAUUGUGCUACCUACCUAUCCAUCCAACUAUUUUCUGAAGCUGCUUAAUCCUGUUGCAUAAUUGCAGGAAGCCAGGGCCCAUCGCAACAAUAAUGUGCUCAAGGAAGCAACCUAGCCUGGAUGGGACUUCCCAAACUAAAACUUAGUCCCCUGGAGCUGUGAGGCAGCAGCACUUUCCACUGCACCAUGCCAGCCCUUCUGCCAUCUGAAAAAAUCAAAGAUAAUUAAUACUAAUAGUUUAAUCAUUAAUUGAUAAAAUAAAUUAAUAAUUUAGGAUAACACACAGUAGAUUAGUUUAUAAUAGCUGCUUUUGAAAACGUCACAACUGAUUUUUUAAGGCCAAAUUAACAUAUGGCAUCUUUUAAUUUGGACCAACCACUAAUUUUCUGUAGAGGCUUAUUUCUGUCCAGGCUUAGCUUACAGCUUAUGAAGUAGGUGGAAGAGACUAAAGGAGAGCCUAGUACUUCAAGAAAAAUUGGAAGUGGUCUCCCCUAGACUUUCUUGUAUCGAUAUGGGGAUGGAUAUUUGAGGAGUA